GACGAACGCUGGCGGCGUGCCUAACACAUGCAAGUCGAGCGGAGAAACAAAAGAGCAGCUUGCUGCGAUUUGUUUCUUAGCGGCGGACGGGUGAGUAACGCGUGGGUAAUCUGCCUCAAACAGGGGGAUAACACAGGGAAACUUGUGCUAAUACCGCAUAAGACCCCACCAUGGCAUCAUGGAGAGGUCAAAGGAAGAAAUUCCGGUUUGAGAUGAGCCCGCGUCUGAUUAGCUAGUUGGUGAGGUAACGGCUCACCAAGGCGACGAUCAGUAGCCGAACUGAGAGGUUGAUCGGCCACAUUGGGACUGAGACACGGCCCAGACUCCUACGGGAGGCAGCAGUGGGGAAUAUUGCACAAUGGGGGAAACCCUGAUGCAGCGACGCCGCGUGAAGGAAGAAAGGCCCUCGGGUUGUAAACUUCUUUGACCAGGGACGAAGAAAGUGAACGGUACCUGGAGAACAAGCCGAACGGCUAACUACGUGCCAGCAGCCGACGGUAAAAUAGACCG
Molecule: ribosomal RNA, 510 nt
Filed under: uncultured bacterium
Lineage: Bacteria
Description: bacterial SSU rRNA
Rfam family: Bacterial small subunit ribosomal RNA
Source: RNAcentral